UACGUAGGGACCAAGCGUUGUUCGGAUUUACUGGGCGUAAAGGGCGCGUAGGCGGCGUGUUAAGUCAGCUGUGAAAUCUAUGAGCUUAACUCAUAACGGUCAGCUGAUACUGAUGUGCUAGAGUACAGAAGGGGCAAUCGGAAUUCUUGGUGUAGCGGUGAAAUGCGUAGAUAUCAAGAGGAACACCUGAGGUGAAGACGGGUUGCUGGGCUGAUACUGACGCUGAGGCGCGAAAGCUAGGGUAGCAAACGGG
RNAcentral lists this ribosomal RNA (253 nucleotides) under uncultured bacterium. Its description in RNAcentral is "partial 16S ribosomal RNA". It matches the Rfam family "Bacterial small subunit ribosomal RNA", at positions 524 to 776 of the family's 1533-position model. The record is from RNAcentral.